GGAGUCUAGCAUGUGCGCGAGUCAUUGGGACUCUGCGAAACCUAAAGGCGUAAUGAAAGUGAAGGUUCGCCUAGCGCGAAUCGAGGGAGGAUGGGCCGCGCUCGUCGCGGCCCCGCACUCCCGGGGCGUUUCGUUCUCAUCGCGAGAAGAGGCGCACCCAGAGCGUACACGCUGGGACCCGAAAGAUGGUGAACUAUGCCUGGUCAGGACGAAGUCAGGGGAAACCCUGAUGGAGGUCCGUAGCGAUUCUGACGUGCAAAUCGAUCGUCGGAACUGGGUAUAGGGGCGAAAGACUAAUCGAACCAUCUAGUAGCUGGUUCCCUCCGAAGUUUCCCUCAGGAUAGCUGGCGCUCGCUUUGCGAGUCUCAUCCGGUAAAGCGAAUGAUUAGAGGCAUUGGGGUCGAAACGGCCUCAACCUAUUCUCAAACUUUAAAUGGGUGAGAACUCCGGCUUGCUUGAACGGUGAAGCCGCGAGUUUAAUUAUUUCGGAAACGAAAAUAAGGAAAGGAUCAGGGUGCCAAGUGGGCCACUUUUGGUAAGCAGAACUGGCGCUGUGGGAUGAACCAAACGUAGAGUUAAAGCGCCAAAAUCGACGCUUAUGGGAUACCAUGAAAGGCGUUGGUAACUUAAGACAGCAGGACGGUGGCCAUGGAA
Molecule: ribosomal RNA, 654 nt
Filed under: Sibuyanella bakeri
Lineage: Eukaryota; Metazoa; Arthropoda; Insecta; Coleoptera; Buprestidae
Description: eukaryotic LSU rRNA
Rfam family: Eukaryotic large subunit ribosomal RNA
Source: RNAcentral